AGUUAACGCUGGCAGCGUGCAUAACACAUGCAAGUCGAGCGGGUUUUGACAGUGUAUCGUUAAAAUUAGCGGCAGACGAGUGAGUAACACGUAAGAAAUCUACCCCGAAAAGGGAACAACCUGCCGAAAGGCGGGCUAAUACCCUAUAUAAUCCCAAGGUGACAUCAUCUCGGGAUGAAAGGCGUAAGCCGUUUUGGGAGGAUCUUGCGACCUAUCAGCUUGUUGGUGGGGUAACGGCCCACCAAGGCUAUGACGGGUAGCCGGCCUGAA
Molecule: ribosomal RNA, 270 nt
Filed under: uncultured bacterium
Lineage: Bacteria
Description: partial 16S ribosomal RNA
Rfam family: Bacterial small subunit ribosomal RNA
Source: RNAcentral